RNAcentral lists this small RNA (2184 nucleotides) under Mytilus galloprovincialis (Mediterranean mussel). The record is from RNAcentral. Lineage: Eukaryota; Metazoa; Mollusca; Bivalvia; Mytilida; Mytilidae.
AUGAUGAACUCUCCAUUAACUUUUCAAUGUUUAAUGACAAAAGUGCUAAAGGAUUUAAAUUUCAAAAUUGCAUUGGUUUACAUCGAUGACAUUCUGAUUUUCUCAAAGAACUUUGAAGACCACCUUAAUCACCUUCAACAAGUGUUUUCAAACCUACGUGAAGCAAACCUGAAACUUAAUCCUGAAAAAUGUAAAUUCGCAACAAGAACAAUCAAGUAUCUGGGACAUGUUAUAUCAAAAGAUGGCAUCCGCGUCAAUCCUGAAAAUACAGAAAAAGUUAAGGACUUCUCAAGACCAACCACUGCAAAGCAAGUUAAAAGUUUUUUAGGAAUGGCAAACUACUAUAGGAAAUUUGUGAAAGACUAUGCCCACAUAGCAGCUCCAUUAACAAAGCUUUUAAAGAAAGAUCAAAGAUUCAAGUGGACACCAGAAUGUGAUAUUGCGUUUCAAAAUUUAAAAGACCGUUUGACAUCAGCUCCAAUUUUAUCGUUUCCUCAUUUAGACAAACCUUUCAUCUUAGCAACAGAUUCUUCAGAGUUUUCAAAUGGAUAUAUUUUAAGUCAGAUUCAAAAUGGAUUAGAACAUGUGAUUGCUUAUGGUGGUAGACAAUUAAGGGGUUCAGAACUUAAGUGGCAUAUUACUGACAAAGAAGCUUUAGCAUUAGUAGAAGGAGUUCAACAUUUUAAACAUUAUUUGGCAAAUCAAGAGUUCACAGUGUAUACAGACAAUAUUUCAGUAAAAUACCUUCAGAAAAUCAAAGAUUGUCAGGGAAGACUUGGUAGGUGGAGUUUGCUAUUACAAGGAUAUAAUUUUAAAAUUCAACAUCGCGCAGGAUCUAAAAACCCAGCAGACUGCUUAUCCAGACAAAAACAUUUAGAAAUUAACAAUAGUGCUUCUUAUGACUCUAGUGAACUUGCAGACCAUUUAGGCUCCAUAGAUAUACCGAAAGAAUAUACCGAAGUAACAUUUAUAUAUAAGGGUGAAAAUGAAGAUGCAGUUAUUUCAAGUUUACAAACCGUGACAAUUAAUGAUAUUCAAUUAACCAAUUUAGCCGAAGAACAAGAGACAUGUAGAGACUUUGCCGAUAUCAUUAAAUACAAACAGACAGGACGAGUACCACAGAAUCCAGAACUUGCAAGGGCAGUCGUAGCAGAAUCUUACAACUUUGAGUUAGAAGAUGGAAUUUUAAAACACUUCUACUCAAAACGUUGUAAGAAAGUGCCAAAAGAUGAACGACUUGUCAAACAGAUUGCAGUUCCAAGGAAUCUCCGUGAUUCAAUACUCAAAGCCUAUCAUGACUGCAUUCUGGGAGGAGGACAUCAAGGAUUUGAACGAACAUAUGCUGCAAUUAGAAACAAAUAUUUUUGGCCAUCGAUGUAUAGUGACAUUAAUCAAUAUGUAAAAACGUGUGAAGUGUGCCAGCAGUCCAAACGCGCUUUUAAUUCAAAACCACCACCUUUACAACCACAACCAACAAAUGAUAUUUUCGGACGAUGGCAUAUGGAUAUUUUAAGUGGCCUUCCAACAACCAAAGAUAAAUACAAACAUGUUCUACUCGUAGUUGAUAGUUAUUCAAAAUGGUGUGAAGCUUUUCCGUUAAGAUCUGAAGAAGCAGGUGAAGUUGCAAAUGUGUUAUAUAGAGAAAUAAUAUCCCGUUAUGGUGCUCCUAGAACUCUUUUAUCUGACCGCGGACGUAAUUUUGUUUCAAAUUUAGUUAAAGCUCUUUCAGAACUCUUCAAUAUUAAAAGACAUCUUACAAGCUCAUACCAUCCACAGACAAAUGGUGCAUGUGAAAGAAUGAACUCUGUAAUUUUACAAGCGUUAAGAGCCUAUACAAGAGAUCAACAAGAUGAUUGGUAUGAUGUGCUACCAGGAAUUUUAAUGGCUUAUCGUGCUACACCUGCAACUCAAUCGACUGAUUAUUCACCAUUCUUUUUACUCUAUGGACGAGAAAUGACAUUACCCAUUGACACCGCGUUAAUACCAAAAGAUCGUUUGGCACAAGAUCACAAAAUAUUUUUAAGCAGAAUUCUUCAAAAUUUAGAAACUUCAAGAAAAAUAGCUGCUAAGAACAUCAAGCAAGCUCAAGAAAGAUAUAUAAACAACAAUAUGACAAAAAAUCUAAAGAACCUGAAUUUCAACCAGCUCAACGUGUUUGGCUUUAUUGUACCAAAGUUCCUGUAG